Molecule: ribosomal RNA, 459 nt
Filed under: uncultured bacterium
Lineage: Bacteria
Description: SSU rRNA
Rfam family: Bacterial small subunit ribosomal RNA
Source: RNAcentral
AGAAUCAACGCUGGCGGCGUGCCUAACACAUGCAAGUCGAACGAGAAAGUGGAGCAAUCCAUGAGUAAAGUGGCGCACGGGUGAGUAACACGUGACUAACCUACCCUUGAGUGGGGGAUAACCUAGGGAAACCUGGGCUAAUACCGCAUAAUACCUUCGGGUCAAAGGAGCAAUUCGCUUAAGGAGGGGGUCGCGGCCGAUUAGUUAGUUGGCGGGGUAAUGGCCCACCAAGACUGUGAUCGGUAUCCGGCCUGAGAGGGCGCACGGACACACUGGAACUGAAACACGGUCCAGACUCCUACGGGAGGCAGCAGUGGGGAAUUUUGCGCAAUGGGGGAAACCCUGACGCAGCAACGCCGCGUGGAGGAUGAAGUCCCUGGGACGUAAACUCCUUUCGAUCGGGACGAUUAUGACGGUACCGGAAGAAGAAGCCCCGGCUAACUUCGCGCCAGCAGCCGC